Molecule: ribosomal RNA, 330 nt
Filed under: uncultured eukaryote
Lineage: Eukaryota
Description: partial 18S ribosomal RNA
Rfam family: Eukaryotic small subunit ribosomal RNA
Source: RNAcentral
CCCUUAGAUGUUCUGGGCCGCACGCGUGCUACACUGAUGCAUUCAACGAGUCUAAAACCUGGUCUGAUAGGGCUGGGUAAUCUUUUGAAAGUGCAUCGUGAUUGGGAUAGAUGAUUGCAAUUCUUCAUCUUCAACGAGGAAUGCCUAGUAAACGCAAGUCAUCAGCUUGCAUUGAUUACGUCCCUGCCCUUUGUACACACCGCCCGUCGCUCCUACCGAUUGAGCGGUCCGGUGAAGACUCAAGAGAUAUGUAGGCGCUCGGGUGACCGAACGCGUUGCGUGUCAAAUUUGUCUAAACCUUAUCGCUUAGAGGAAGGAGAAGUCGUAACA